UCAAGUGCAGACAACUUUUUCUUGUUGUCUAGAGCCAUUGCUUCCAGAGCUUAUGAGGAGCUAUAAAAGAGGUCAGGACACCUGGGUCUAGUCUCAGCUCUACCACGAACUAGCAAUGUGGCCAAGCACCAAGCCUUUCUGGUCUUAGCUUUCUCAUUUAUAAAAUGAAGAAGCCAAAGUUAACUGGAUUUCUAGCCCCUGCCAACUCUCAUAUCUCUAACAAGUCAUGAUUUAAAGCUUCAAGCAUAUGAUUAUGAGAUGGUGGUUCUCAACAUUUACCACAACCUCCCAGCAAACCACACAGCAGUCAACUCUCAAGAUUUCUUCCAGGAGGGUAAAGGGAUUUUUCUCUUCACAUGCCAUCCAACUCCAUGGGAAAACAUUAGCAGUGACAAAUGACUCUGGAUGAAUGCUUGAAUCCGAGGUCAUAGAUAUAAAUUACAAUUCUGGCCCUCAUUCACCCUCACAUAGCUUUCUGGCAUCCUUUCCCAUUCUCUGAACAUGAGAGGAAUGAGAAGGUUAUUUGGAAGGUCGCUGAUCUUAGGAGUUGUCCUGCUACAGUUACCGGAGAAUCUUGAAUUUCAUCUGAAAAGACUGCAAGGCAGUCGGGGCAAGCAUGCUAUGAGAAGUCAACUGAGGAAAAGACAGUGAGAGAGCAAGAGCAGAUUGAGAAGCAGAAGAGUGAGUCGCAAAAAGAGAAAAUGACAGAAAUGGAGCACCCUGGUAUCAUAAAAUAUGCUUGAACUUGGGUUAAUUCCUCUUGGACUGAAUUGUAGUGCCAUAAACCAAGCUUUUCAAAAAGAUUGGAUGCAAAACUAUUAUGGCAACAGGAAUUUUUAUCAACAUAAAGCAGGAUUUAAUGCAGGGUGAAGGAUUUCUACUGUAAAUGCUUCAAAUCAUCAUCAUGGGGGAGAAGAGCACAGCAGUAUUUCCUUCCAAAAUGUAAGCAGCACAACCUUCCAAGAACCUUGAUGUGUAGUUAAAACGACCAUGAAGGGAGCCUCCCCUGAUCUCUGUCCUCCAAUUUAUUGCUCUCUCUCAUGUUUGAAAGGUUUGUUUUGGAUCCAGUGACAAUAAUACUGGUAGGACUAUAACUAAAGUACUUUGAGUCCUAGGAGGAGGAACAAAGAAUGUUUUUCUAUAAUAUGUUAACAUAACUGGACAUCCAUUAAAUAAUUGGUGUGUAGCUGGAAGUAAAAAUGGCUUAAACAGAGAAAAGUUUCUAUAACAGCUGUGAACACAAAGCCAACAAAGGACUUGAGGGACAAACACUUCUAAUAUGCUCGCAGAAUCACCUGAUGUCAUGAGCACCUGCUUUAUACAAAAACCACUGUGGCAGAAGCAUCUAUGUGUAUACUUAGGGUAACAAACAUUCCAUUUCAAUUUUGAAUUUAAAUAAAAGAUGCUCUAGUCUGUUUUUUUCUUCCAAUCUCAGGCUCAGGCUCUGCAGACAUCUCUUUGAAUCUCCCAAAAGAUCAUGUUUGCUUUGGUCGAAGAUUAGAUAUUCACCCCAGUGUUCACAUACUUUGUCCUCCCAAGCUGGAACAACUUGAGCUUUCAGAGUCCAAAUGUGUUAGACUCAUCCAGGGCUCUUGAAGUCAGUAUUCAAAUGCUAGCACUAUAAAUUAUAGAAUUUAGUUUGUCACAAAUUAAAACUUUAUUUCAGUGAAAACAGUGACUGUCACUUGUAUAUAUUUGGUCACUGUAAAUCUGCUGUAAACCAAAAGAGAAACUAAAACUAGCAAAGGGUGGUGAUGGUGGCAGCGGUAGUGGCAGAGGGACAUGCUAAUGUAUGUCUUGAAGUCUGUUUUCCUAGAAUCCCAAGCUACAUUGGUUGGUAAUAAAUAAUGUGGUUAAAGAAGGCAGAUUCUAAGAUAGAAUUUUGGACCUGGAUCACCUGUAGCCUGCCUAGCAAUGAAGACCUCAUCAGUGGUGAUAGAUGGAGAACAGAUACACCUUGGAACCAGGUAGUGAUCUAACUUAACAUUUUUCACUAAUGUUACGCUAAGAUGGAAUACUAAUGAAAUGCAAUGCACUGAUGGGUAACAUGUAUAAGGUGGUUGAGAAACAAUAUAGGGUGUCCAGAGAUAAGAGCAAUCAGCUAAGGGAGGAAUGGGACUAGAUAAUGAAGAAGCUGCAGGGCCUAACCAACUUGUAAGGGCAGGGGUCAUGAGAGUAUAAAUGGGACAGAAUUCUGAAGGUGCUAGAUUCAGAAAACAGAGAAGAACAGAAAGUUAGACAAGAAAGAGUUUAUCAAGUUGGAAAUACUCUCCCAGUGGAGGAUUUUACAUCCUGACAAAGAUCCUCGAAGAUAUCCAAAACAGGUUUUGAGGAUGGCUCCUGGAAGCUUGAAGAAAGCAAUGGCCACAUCAAAUGAAGUAGGAAAGAUACAUUGGGUGCAAGGCUAUCAUUACCAUAACAUUCUCUGGCCUUAGCAUUUACCUACUUCUCAUCUAGAAAAUGCCACCGUUAUUUUAAAAUACAAAGUCAGAAGUUAAAAAUAACUCAAUAUCUUAAUCUCUGGAGUUUAUACCUAGUUAUGAAUUCACUGCUAAGCAACGUGUGAUAAAAUACUAGUCUUUAGUGUUUAAAUCUCCAUCCUAGUCCAACAUGCAUUCAUUAUUAUUAUUAUGUUUUUGAGACGGAGUCUUGCU
RNAcentral lists this long non-coding RNA (2654 nucleotides) under Homo sapiens (human). RNAcentral's name for it is "HSALNT0336764". The record is from RNAcentral. Lineage: Eukaryota; Metazoa; Chordata; Mammalia; Primates; Hominidae.